AGAGUUGGUACUCACGGUUCCUUUAAGGGCAUCCACUUCACAGGUGAGGGACUGCACCUGUCUCCGGUACUCAGUGGACUCCUGCUUUGCCUGGCGCAGGGCGUCAUUGUUCCGGUUGGCAGCCUCAGAGAGGUUCUUGGCAGCCACGCUUUCAUAUUGCUGACGAACGUCACGCAGGGCAGCCGUGAGGUCAGGCUUGGAAACAUCCACAUCAAUUUGGACAUGCUGUUCCUGAAUCUGAGCCUGCAGCUCCUGGAUUUCCUGCAAAAAGAACAGACAGACGGUCAGCUCUGCCAACCGUGGGGGCUGCCUUACCCCAUUCAUUCUCUGAAAGUCACUCCACUAACCUCUUCGUGGAGUUUCUUCAAAAAGGCAAUCUCUUCUUGCAAAGAUUCCACUUUGCGUUCAAGGUCAAGACGUGCCAGAGACGCGUUGUCAACAUCCUAUUUUGAAAAGAGAAAAGACAGGACAUGGAGGAUGUAAAAGUCUAUGGCUUAUCUCAUUUAUUUGUCUUAGAUUAACCAUCUGAACCUAGUCUUCUUACUAUAGAAAAGGUGUUGACACAUUUUAUGACCCUUGAAUAGGUUUAUAAAUCAUUCAGUGCUAUAAUAUGCUGUGCUUUCUCCUGCUCACUAAUAUAUUUUAAUUGUGACUCCUUGUGUUUUACUCAAGGUGGUGAUUGGACAAUUUUAAAAUAAAUAAAUG
This 705-nucleotide non-coding RNA is filed under the name Pongo abelii (Sumatran orangutan). The record is from RNAcentral. Lineage: Eukaryota; Metazoa; Chordata; Mammalia; Primates; Hominidae.